RNAcentral lists this ribosomal RNA (117 nucleotides) under Jaculus jaculus (lesser Egyptian jerboa). Lineage: Eukaryota; Metazoa; Chordata; Mammalia; Rodentia; Dipodidae. The record is from RNAcentral.
CAUGGUGGUACCACCCUGAACAUGCCAGGAUCUCUUCCGAUCUCAGAAGCAAAGCAGGGUCAGGCCUGGUUAGUACUUGAAUGGCAGUAUAAUGAUGAAUAUUACCUACUAUCAUUA